UCCUGGGUAGCUCAGACAGUAAAGAAUCUGCCUGCAAUGCAGGAGACCUGGGUUCAAUCCCUGGAUUGGGAA
This 72-nucleotide transfer RNA is filed under the name Bos taurus (domestic cattle). It matches the Rfam family "tRNA". Rfam says of the family: Transfer RNA (tRNA) molecules are approximately 80 nucleotides in length. Their secondary structure includes four short double-helical elements and three loops (D, anti-codon, and T loops). The record is from Rfam by way of RNAcentral. RNAcentral also lists the same sequence under 4 other names. Lineage: Eukaryota; Metazoa; Chordata; Mammalia; Artiodactyla; Bovidae.